CCCUUAGAUGUUCUGGGCCGCACGCGCGCUACACUGACGAUGGCAACGAGUUUUUCCUUCGCCGAAAGGUGUGGGUAAUCUUUUGAAACAUCGUCGUGCUGGGGAUAGAUCAUUGCAAUUUUUGAUCUCGAACGAGGAAUUCCUAGUAAGCGCGAGUCAUCAGCUCGCGUUGAUUACGUCCCUGCCCUUUGUACACACCGCCCGUCGCUACUACCGAUUGAAUGGUUUAGUGAGGACUCCUGAUUGGCGCCGCCGCCCCGGCAACGGAGCAGCGGACUGCCGAAAAGUUGUUCAAACUUGAUCAUUUAGAGGAAGUAAAAGUCGUAACA
RNAcentral lists this ribosomal RNA (329 nucleotides) under uncultured eukaryote. RNAcentral describes it as "partial 18S ribosomal RNA". It matches the Rfam family "Eukaryotic small subunit ribosomal RNA", at positions 1470 to 1796 of the family's 1831-position model. The record is from RNAcentral.